RNAcentral lists this ribosomal RNA (648 nucleotides) under uncultured bacterium. RNAcentral's name for it is "bacterial SSU rRNA". It matches the Rfam family "Bacterial small subunit ribosomal RNA", at positions 98 to 743 of the family's 1533-position model. The record is from RNAcentral.
GCGGACGGGUGAGUAAUGCCUAGGAAUCUGCCUGGUAGUGGGGGAUAACGUCCGGAAACGGACGCUAAUACCGCAUACGUCCUACGGGAGAAAGCAGGGGACCUUCGGGCCUUGCGCUAUCAGAUGAGCCUAGGUCGGAUUAGCUAGUUGGUGGGGUAAUGGCUCACCAAGGCGACGAUCCGUAACUGGUCUGAGAGGAUGAUCAGUCACACUGGAACUGAGACACUGUCCAGACUCCUACGGGAGGCAGCAGUGGGGAAUAUUGGACAAUGGGCGAAAGCCUGAUCCAGCCAUGCCGCGUGUGUGAAGAAGGUCUUCGGAUUGUAAAGCACUUUAAGUUGGGAGGAAGGGCAGUAAAUUAAUACUUUGCUGUUUUGACGUUACCGACAGAAUAAGCACCGGCUAACUCUGUGCCAGCAGCCGCGGUAAUACAGAGGGUGCAAGCGUUAAUCGGAAUUACUGGGCGUAAAGCGCGCGUAGGUGGUUCGUUAAGUUGGAUGUGAAAUCCCCGGGCUCAACCUGGGAACUGCAUUCAAAACUGACGAGCUAGAGUAUGGUAGAGGGUGGUGGAAUUUCCUGUGUAGCGGUGAAAUGCGUAGAUAUAGGAAGGGACACCAGUGGCGAAGCGACCACCUGGACUGAUACUGA